This is a small nuclear RNA of Diceros bicornis minor, 103 nucleotides long. The record is from RefSeq and is a predicted model, not a curated record. Lineage: Eukaryota; Metazoa; Chordata; Mammalia; Perissodactyla; Rhinocerotidae.
UCGCUUUGGCUGCGCAUAGACUAAAAUUGGAACCAUAUAGAGAAGAUUAGCAUGGCCACUGAGCAAGAAUGACACGAACAUUCAUGAAAUAGCUCAUAUUUUU